UGAAGCUAGUACCAAAGAUAAAUUAACAGGCAGCAAAUCAAAUAUUCAUAACAAAAGACCAAAUAGAGCAGCAAAGCAAAUAGUUUGAUCAAAACCACUGACCUAACAACACAAAAGUUCGAUAAACAAAAACAAGCAUUACCAACUAGACUCUUGCAGUUCUUAAGAAACUCGGACAUAAAUAGAAGAACACCUCACUUCUUCUUGAUAGCAGCCUUGGUCACCUUGGCACCAGUGGGGUCCUUCUUCUCAACACUCUUAAUAACCCCAACAGCAACAGUCUGGCGCAUG
This 291-nucleotide unclassified non-coding RNA is filed under the name Hevea brasiliensis (rubber tree). The record is from RNAcentral. Lineage: Eukaryota; Viridiplantae; Streptophyta; Magnoliopsida; Malpighiales; Euphorbiaceae.